Molecule: unclassified non-coding RNA, 274 nt
Filed under: Oidiodendron sp.
Lineage: Eukaryota; Fungi; Ascomycota; Leotiomycetes; Myxotrichaceae
Description: partial contains 5.8S ribosomal RNA, internal transcribed spacer 2, and large subunit ribosomal RNA
Rfam family: 5.8S ribosomal RNA (bases 1-71)
Source: RNAcentral
GUGAAUCAUCGAAUCUUUGAACGCACAUUGCGCCCCGCGGCACUCCGCGGGGCAUGCCUGUCCGAGCGUCGUCUCAGCCCUCAAGCGCGGCUUGGUGUUGGGCGCGGCCCGUGGUGGCCGGCCCCAAAGGCAGCGGCGGCGCCCCCGGCCCUGAGCGUAGUAUACGUCCCUCGCUCCAGCGCCCGGCGGCGGCCAGCCGGAAACCGACCACAGUGGUUGACCUCGGCUCAGGUAGGGAUACCCGCUGAACUUAAGCAUAUCAAUAAGCGGAGGA